Long non-coding RNA from Carassius gibelio (silver crucian carp), 515 nucleotides. RefSeq lists it as uncharacterized. The record is from RefSeq and is a predicted model, not a curated record. Lineage: Eukaryota; Metazoa; Chordata; Actinopteri; Cypriniformes; Cyprinidae. The transcript is spliced from 2 exons.
AAACAGCUCAGACACCCCGUCCUCUUCCUCGGAGAAUGAAGAGUCGACCUCCACACCUUCAUCCAACCCAUGCCCUCGACAAGCCUGAGGAGCAGAAAGAUAUGAUCAUCAGAAACAUUCAGUUUAAGAAAAAUCCACAGAGAAGCCAAGCUUGCUGAGGGUUUUGUGAAGUCUUUGAGUGUCUUUCUUCGCACCGUUCCUGUUGUUCAGACCUGCACCUGGAUAGAAGCUCUCCACAGACACUAUCAACGCCCUGUUCUUCAUUCUCUUGUUUGCUGACAAAGGAAUUUUACAAGACAUCGUUUUCUCUUCAAUCAAACACUGAGGUGUAAUGCGGUCACAAACUGUGUGAGAAUAAGGAGAGCCUACUUUAUGAGUCUGACUGAUCAUCUGUCUCUCAUGCCCUAUAUGGAGUUUCCUCCCAUUUUCUGUCAUCAGUCUGAUCUACGCAACACUGGCAAUUCCUUGACUAUCAGAAGCUUCAUCUUUAGCUUAUAAAAAGGCAAUUUACUUCA